RNAcentral lists this long non-coding RNA (443 nucleotides) under Homo sapiens (human). RNAcentral's name for it is "long independently transcribed non-coding RNA 354 (LINC00354)". The record is from RNAcentral. Lineage: Eukaryota; Metazoa; Chordata; Mammalia; Primates; Hominidae.
GACCCUCGUGACAGCCAGAGAAUGUCCGUUUCUCGGAGCGCAGCACAGCCUGUCCCAUCGAGAAGCCUCGGGUGGACAUGGACUCCAUGGAAGCCUGAGCUGCCAGGGGCUUCCCUGGGGCAGCACUGCUUCGCGUAGGCUCACGAGAAACUUCCAGGGUUCCUGGGAAAUGAAUGAAAAUAAACAAACAAAUUCCUUGCAUUCAACGCAGCGUAAGAAAAAUCACAUCCUGUUCCCCAGUAGCUGAGGAAAGCCGGCUCACGAGAGUAUACAGGGAGAAGAGGCCAGCAUUGUGUGGCUGCCAGCAAAGCUCACUUGUAUGUCAAAUGCAGCGCUUUUCUUAGCCCAUUAUGUAUUUUUUUUUUCUUGAACACUCCUGUGUCUACUGGGAUCUCCUGUUUUUAUUGUUUUGGGAUGAGAUUUUAAAAACACCAUUUAAUGUA